AGGGGUAUAGCUCAGUUGGUAGAGCAGCGGUCUCCAAAACCGCGUGCCGUGAGUUCGAGACUUACUACCCCUGCCA
Molecule: transfer RNA, 76 nt
Filed under: Faecalibacterium prausnitzii
Lineage: Bacteria; Bacillati; Bacillota; Clostridia; Eubacteriales; Oscillospiraceae
Also listed under: 38 other names
Description: tRNA-Trp
Rfam family: tRNA
About the family: Transfer RNA (tRNA) molecules are approximately 80 nucleotides in length.
Source: RNAcentral